Molecule: long non-coding RNA, 216 nt
Organism: Thalassophryne amazonica
Lineage: Eukaryota; Metazoa; Chordata; Actinopteri; Batrachoidiformes; Batrachoididae
Exons: 3
Source: RefSeq, a predicted model, not a curated record
AGGGUGAACCAGGUACCAGGGGCCAACCAGGCAUGCCUGGGCUGUUUGGACCAGGAGGCAAAACCAGGAUGAGAGGAGCCAAAGGCCAGAAAGGACUGUUGGGACACAGUGGUCCACCUGGCAGUAUUGGCCCCCCUGGAGAAAUUGGACCAGCAGCAUUGGGUUUACCUGGUGAGAAAGGAAUUAGUGGUGAAACUGGACUGCCUGGGCCAAAGG